GUCUACGGCCAUACCACCCUGAACACGCCCGAUCUCGUCUGAUCUCGGAAGCUAAGCAGGGUCGGGCCUGGUUAGUACUUGGAUGGGAGACCUCCUGGGAAUACUGGGUGCUGUAGGCU
Ribosomal RNA from Chelydra serpentina (North American snapping turtle), 119 nucleotides. The record is from Ensembl. NCBI's taxonomy places the organism in Eukaryota, Metazoa, Chordata, Testudines, Chelydridae.